Molecule: non-coding RNA, 173 nt
Filed under: uncultured Ureibacillus sp.
Lineage: Bacteria; Bacillati; Bacillota; Bacilli; Caryophanales; Caryophanaceae
Description: Lysine riboswitch
Rfam family: Lysine riboswitch aptamer
About the family: Riboswitches are metabolite binding domains within certain messenger RNAs that serve as precision sensors for their corresponding targets. Allosteric rearrangement of mRNA structure is mediated by ligand binding, and this results in modulation of gene expression. This family includes riboswitches that sense lysine in a number of genes involved in lysine metabolism, including lysC.
Source: RNAcentral
AAGGAUAGAGGAGCAAAGACCAUCAGUACACAGUAAGAGGAUAAUGAGAUCCUAAGACGAUUGUGGAAAGGGGAAUUUGCCGAAGCUUUUGAGAGCCUCAUUAUCUCGAAGCUGGUUCUGUUAUUGAACAAAUGCAGGACUGUCAUAUAGGUUUCUAUAUGGAGGGCUAUCUU